This 1593-nucleotide long non-coding RNA is filed under the name Anser cygnoides (Swan goose). RNAcentral's name for it is "lncRNA (ENSACDG00005004328.1)". Lineage: Eukaryota; Metazoa; Chordata; Aves; Anseriformes; Anatidae. The record is from RNAcentral.
AACAGUGUGCAACGUGCUCAAGUUGACACUUCAGAAAUGGAUUGUGCGUUGGGUCAUAUGGUGAGGGGUAAAUGCCAUUUCCCAGACACGACUGUAACCACUCACUGAGGAGGAAUGAGCACCAGGCACUUUGAAGUCUGAGGGAACCACAGAAAAGGUAUCUGUUUAGAUGGGCUGAGGGUGUUCCAGUCUAUAAAUGAUGCAGAGGGAUAUAACUACCACGAUGAAAAAUGAGGCUGAAAGGAGGAGCGGCAGUGGUCAAUAAUGCAAAUUUCACCCCUACAAUCAUUCCAUGGCUGCAAGCAUAUCUUGAUUUCUCCAAGUGAGACUAAGCUACAAACCAAUGGACUUGCUUCACUGCAACAGUGGAAAGAACAGCUGGAGAGGUGCCUGUGGCAUCAAAAGCAAAAAUUUUACAAGCUGGUUGGUUUACUGCCUCUGGCCUCUGAGAUCUGUAAGAGAAUAAAUGAAUUGCCCUGACAUCCCUGCCCAGCCAGAUCCUGGACGAAGAAUGAAAGGCUUCCUUGUACCACGCUGUUGUGUUCAGGACAUUGGAUCAGACUGUCCUGUGAAAUGAGGUAGCGCAACAAACACAAGUUUGGACAUUAGGAAAACCUUCCUGGUGUCUGUACUUCAUCAGUCUACCAAAGAGGAUGGUGAGAGCAACCCUCUUGCAGCAGAAGCACAAGAAAACGGUUAAACAAAAGGCACCCAUAAAAAAAUCACCAGCACAAUUUAACCAUUCAGUGAGAAGACCAUUGGAAGUAAUUGACAAGUUCUAAUAAUUGACAAUUAAUUGACAAGUUCUUGCACUAUUACCAUCUACAAGAUGGUAAUAGUGCUAUUUGCAUCUUCUGUGUAGCAUUUAGAGAUUUAGAUAAGAAAACACUAUAUAGGAGCUAAGGAUUUUUAUAAAAUACACAGAUAGUCUUUUCCAUUGUAAAUUCUCUCCAUUCGUGAUCCAUUCAAAUUAGAUUUCUCUCUAAAUUCUAACCAUGUAAGAUAUGUUACACAUAUGAAACACCACAAAACAUAGCUUUGGAGCUAUGCACUGUAUAGUAAUACGUGUUAUUUAUACACUAGGAUCCCCCCAUUUUCUUUCUGUAGAAAACAGAAAAUCUCGUAUACUCGAUUGUAAGCACUCAAUUUGCUAAUGUGCACAAAGGAAAUGUGCUAAUGUGCACAGAGGAAAAAGUAUGUUAAAAUGUUUCCUUUUAUUAACAGUGCAGAAUAACGGCAUAUGAGUAUUCUGAAAAUCAUUACUGAAUAUAUUCAGAUACAAAAUCCUUGCCAGGUCUUUCUGAAAAACAUGAGAAGUGUUUCAAGAAACACUGUCCAGUGACAAUAAUUUACUGUUAGUCUAAGUCAGAAAGCUGCAUCGUAUAAUGCAUUAAAUUAUUCUGUUCCUCUCUGCCUUUCAGUUAAAAUCAAGAAGAUGUACUUAAUAAGAACAGUGGGCCAUUUCUCUGGACUUUGCAACCUUCCAUAUUAUGCAUGAAUCUAUCCUGCAGCCAUUUGGAGAAGCACUGGGAGCAAAUGAAUUAUGAGUCAUGGGAAGAAUAAAAGACGUCACAAAUAUUGAAAUUAAAUGCA